This 340-nucleotide ribosomal RNA is filed under the name uncultured bacterium. RNAcentral describes it as "bacterial SSU rRNA". It matches the Rfam family "Bacterial small subunit ribosomal RNA", at positions 30 to 371 of the family's 1533-position model. The record is from RNAcentral.
AUUGAACGCUGGCGGCAUGCCUUACACAUGCAAGUCGAACGGCAGCACGGGAGCAAUCCUGGUGGCGAGUGGCGAACGGGUGAGUAAUAUAUCGGAACGUGCCCAGUCGUGGGGGAUAACGUAGCGAAAGCUACGCUAAUACCGCAUACGAUCUAUGGAUGAAAGCGGGGGAUCGCAAGACCUCGCGCGAUUGGAGCGGCCGAUAUCAGAUUAGGUAGUGGUGAGGUAAAGGCUCGCCAAGCCGACGAUCUGUAGCUGGUCUGAGAGGACGACCAGCCACACUGGGACUGAGACACGGCCCAGACUCCUACGGAGGCAGCAGUGGGGAAUUUUGGGACAA